GUUCUUUUAGUAUUAAAUAGUACAAUUGACUUCCAAUCAAUUAGUUUCGGUCCAACUCCGAAAURGAACA
This 70-nucleotide transfer RNA is filed under the name Doedicurus sp. FD-2016a. RNAcentral describes it as "tRNA-Gly". It matches the Rfam family "tRNA". Rfam says of the family: Transfer RNA (tRNA) molecules are approximately 80 nucleotides in length. Their secondary structure includes four short double-helical elements and three loops (D, anti-codon, and T loops). The record is from RNAcentral. Lineage: Eukaryota; Metazoa; Chordata; Mammalia; Cingulata; Chlamyphoridae.